UUAAAACACGUUUGUAACAUUUGGUCCGAUCUUUUCUCUCUCCUCUGAAACCCUAGAGAAGGCGAUUUGGGAGGCGACGAAAAGGAAUCGGGGAUAAUUGACUCUGCAUUGAAUCCAGUAACAUACAAGAUUGUGAAAUUAUGUUUCCAGACAUAAUAUCUUUUGAUUUAGGUAAUCUUUGUCAUCCUUGUAUAUCUGAUAUUGUUUCAGCUAAUUGAUUAAUUGAUGAGCUUCUGAUUGUAUGUUUAUCUUGUUUGGAACCAUUAUUGAGUUUGACCUACUCUUCUAUAUCUUUUGUGUGUGUCCAUGAUAGUUUGCCACUAUUGUUUCUGUUGUACUCGUGUGGAAAUCAAACAACCUCUUAAGUUUCUUUUGGAUUUCUUGUCUGGUUGCUGAGAAUUUCACAUCUCCUUGGUAUUCCUCUUUUGUGGUGUCCUGGAUCUGCACUUCUGUACACAAAAUAUAUGUUUCCAUUUUGACUUGCCUAUCAAUUGAUCGAUCGAUCGUUCCAUCUGAUAUUAUCAGAGAAGAGCAAGCAACGUGUUUUGUGAGCAAUGGCGUCCUCUUCUCUCCUCAGAUCUACAACCCCUGUUCUCCGAGCCUCAGGAAUCUCUUCACUUCCGCCGUCUGACGGAACAAGUAAACGUUGUUUUCCCUAUGAGUGUUUGAUAACAAAAAAAUUCAAUCCUACUUCUAUUUUUUGUUUAUUUUUAUAUAAUUUGUGUUUUCUGAUCAUGUCAAGCUGUAUAUAUAUAUAUUGUUGAUUUUGGUUUUUGAUUAUUUGUUGUUGUAAGCGAUGGAUCUUUGACUUUCUAAGUACCUUUAUGAUUUUUUUUUGGAAUUAAUUUGAUUGUUGAUAUAUAGUAGCUUUCUUUGGUUUCAUUUGAUUUCGGAUAAAAUUAUAGUUGUAAUGAAUUUGAUCCCCAUUUUUUAAUUUGAUUGGCGAUGUGUAGUUGCUUUA
Cornus florida is the source of this 961-nucleotide long non-coding RNA. RefSeq lists it as uncharacterized. Lineage: Eukaryota; Viridiplantae; Streptophyta; Magnoliopsida; Cornales; Cornaceae. The record is from RefSeq and is a predicted model, not a curated record. The transcript has 3 exons.